UUUCCUCCCGAGUGCUUGCACUCAAUUGGAAAGAGGAGUGGCGGACGGGUGAGUAACACGUGGGUAACCUACCCAUCAGAGGGGGAUAACACUUGGAAACAGGUGCUAAUACCGCAUAACAGUUUAUGUCGCAUGGCAUAAGAGUGAAAGGCGCUUUCGGGUGUCGCUGAUGGAUGGACCCGCGGUGCAUUAGCUAGUUGGUGAGGUAACGGCUCACCAAGGCCACGAUGCAUAGCCGACCUGAGAGGGUGAUCGGCCACACUGGGACUGAGACACGGCCCAGACUCCUACGGGAGGCAGCAGUAGGGAAUCUUCGGCAAUGGACAAAAGUCUGACCGAGCAACGCCGCGUGAGUGAAGAAGGUUUUCGGAUCGUAAAACUCUGUUGUUAGAGAAGAACAAGGACGUUAGUAACUGAACGUCCCCUGACGGUAUCUAACCAGAAAGCCACGGCUAACUACGUGCCAGCAGCCGCGGUAAUACGUAGGUGGCAAGCGUUGUCCGGAUUUAUUGGGCGUAAAGCGAGCGCAGGCGGUUUCUUAAGUCUGAUGUGAAAGCCCCCGGCUCAACCGGGGAGGGUCAUUGGAAACUGGGAGACUUGAGUGCAGAAGAGGAGAGUGGAAUUCCAUGUGUAGCGGUGAAAUGCGUAGAUAUAUGGAGGAACACCAGUGGCGAAGGCGGCUCUCUGGUCUGUAACUGACGCUGAGGCUCGAAAGCGUGGGGAG
RNAcentral lists this ribosomal RNA (724 nucleotides) under uncultured Bacilli bacterium. RNAcentral describes it as "bacterial SSU rRNA". It matches the Rfam family "Bacterial small subunit ribosomal RNA", at positions 67 to 768 of the family's 1533-position model. The record is from RNAcentral. Lineage: Bacteria; Bacillati; Bacillota; Bacilli.